Molecule: long non-coding RNA, 163 nt
Organism: Spea bombifrons (plains spadefoot toad)
Lineage: Eukaryota; Metazoa; Chordata; Amphibia; Anura; Pelobatidae
Exons: 2
Source: RefSeq, a predicted model, not a curated record
AUGCUGAAGAAAAGGCAGAUGCCUUGAACAAGGAGUUACUGAUGACUAAACAGAAACUGAUUGAUGCAGAAGAGGAGAAGAGACGAUUGGAAGAAGAAUCUGCUCAGCUGAAGGAAAUGUGUCGCAGGGAGCUUGAUAAAGCAGAGUCAGAAAUAAAGAAAAA